RNAcentral lists this ribosomal RNA (497 nucleotides) under uncultured bacterium. RNAcentral's name for it is "partial 16S ribosomal RNA". It matches the Rfam family "Bacterial small subunit ribosomal RNA", at positions 28 to 507 of the family's 1533-position model. The record is from RNAcentral.
GAUGAACGCUGGCGGCGUGCCUAAUACAUGCAAGUCGAGCGAACGGACGAGAAGCUUGCUUCUCUGAGGUUAGCGGCGGACGGGUGAGUAACACGUGGAUAACCUACCUAUAAGACUGGGAUAACUUCGGGAAACCGGAGCUAAUACCGGAUAAUAUUUUGAACCGCAUGGUUCAAAAGUGAAAGACGGUCUUGCUGUCACUUAUAGAUGGAUCCGCGCUGCAUUAGCUAGUUGGUAAGGUAACGGCUUACCAAGGCAACGAUGCAUAGCCGACCUGAGAGGGUGAUCGGCCACACUGGAACUGAGACACGGUCCAGACUCCUACGGGAGGCAGCAGUAGGGAAUCUUCCGCAAUGGGCGAAAGCCUGACGGAGCAACGCCGCGUGAGUGAUGAAGGUCUUCGGAUCGUAAAACUCUGUUAUUAGGGAAGAACAUAUGUGUAAGUAACUGUGCACAUCUUGACGGUACCUAAUCAGAAAGCCACGGCUAACUACGUG